This 380-nucleotide ribosomal RNA is filed under the name uncultured organism. Its description in RNAcentral is "partial 16S ribosomal RNA". It matches the Rfam family "Bacterial small subunit ribosomal RNA", at positions 527 to 895 of the family's 1533-position model. The record is from RNAcentral.
GUAGGUGGCAAGCGUUUGUCCGGAAAUUAUUGGGCGUAAAGCGCGCGCAGUGGGUCUUUAAGUCUGAUGUGAAAGCCCCCGGGCUCAACCGGGGAGGGUCAUUGGAAACUGGGGAACUUGAGUGCAGGAGAGGAAAGUGGAAUUCCACGUGUAGCGGUGAAAUGCGUAGAUAUGUGGAGGAACACCAGUGGCGAAGGCGACUUUCUGGCCUGUAACUGACACUGAAGCGCGAAAGCGGUGGGGAGACAAACAGGAUUAGACUACCCUGGUAGUCCACGACCGUAAACGAUGAGUGCUAAGUGGUUUGGGGGUUUCCCGCCCCUCAGUGCUGCAGCUAACGCAUUAAGCACUCCGCCGUGGGGAGUACGGUCGCAAAGACU